This 253-nucleotide ribosomal RNA is filed under the name uncultured bacterium. RNAcentral's name for it is "partial 16S ribosomal RNA". It matches the Rfam family "Bacterial small subunit ribosomal RNA", at positions 524 to 776 of the family's 1533-position model. The record is from RNAcentral.
UACGUAGGGUGCGAGCGUUAAUCGGAAUUACUGGGCGUAAAGCGUGCGCAGGCGGUGAUGUAAGACAGAUGUGAAAUCCCCGGGCUUAACCUGGGAACUGCGCUUGUAACUGGCAAGCUAGAGUGUGGCAGAGGGGGGUGGAAUUCCACGUGUAGCAGUGAAAUGCGUAGAGAUGUGGAGGAACACCGAUGGCGAAGGCAGCCCCCUGGGCUAACACUGACGCUCAUGCACGAAAGCGUGGGGAGCAAACAGG